Molecule: non-coding RNA, 107 nt
Filed under: Bacillus sp. (in: firmicutes)
Lineage: Bacteria; Bacillati; Bacillota; Bacilli; Caryophanales; Bacillaceae
Also listed under: 1 other name
Description: Bacillus sp. SAM-I sequence
Rfam family: SAM riboswitch aptamer (S box leader)
About the family: The SAM riboswitch is found upstream of a number of genes which code for proteins involved in methionine or cysteine biosynthesis in Gram-positive bacteria. The SAM riboswitch acts at the level of transcription termination control. The predicted structure consists of a complex stem-loop region followed by a single stem loop terminator region.
Source: RNAcentral
CUUUUAUCAAGAGCAGGCGGAGGGACAAGCCCUAUGAAGCCCGGCAACCGGUUGACCAUGGUCAAUACGGUGCUAAUUCUUGCAGCGUUUACGCUGACAGAUAAGAG